AUGGCAAUGCAAUUGGUGGCAACAGCUUCGACAAUAAUGCGAACAGCUUUGCAGCUGAUCCAGGAAGUGUGGACAGUUUUAAUGGCAAUGCAAUUGGUGGAAACAGCUUUGACAACAAUGCUGUAAGUACAAGGAGUCUGUCCAUGGUUAAAUCUUGUUUGACCACCAGUUUGAGUGACCCUAUGUCUAUUUCUUUGUCAGCUGCCCUUAUGCAUUCUUAUCCCAUUUUAUAGGUGAGUCCAGGGGAAAUUCAUCCCUGGGCCCUCUGUAUUUACAAACUCCUUCUCUAUGGUUUCAAACCAAAAAAAUAAUGACUGAUCAAUUCCAGCUUGCCUUCUGCAUCUGCUCAUGAAUUAUAUAUAUCAUUUCCCCCCUUGUUGAGUUAAACCACAAAAGUUCUUUGGGUGGAAGUUUUGUAUUUUAUA
This 425-nucleotide long non-coding RNA is filed under the name Anolis carolinensis (green anole). RNAcentral describes it as "lncRNA (ENSACAG00000035925.1)". The record is from RNAcentral. Lineage: Eukaryota; Metazoa; Chordata; Lepidosauria; Squamata; Anolidae.